RNAcentral lists this ribosomal RNA (460 nucleotides) under uncultured bacterium. RNAcentral describes it as "partial 16S ribosomal RNA". It matches the Rfam family "Bacterial small subunit ribosomal RNA", at positions 338 to 795 of the family's 1533-position model. The record is from RNAcentral.
CCUACGGGAGGCAGCAGUGAGGAAUAUUGGUCAAUGGACGCAAGUCUGAACCAGCCAAGCCGCGUGAAGGAUGACGGCUCUAUGGGUUGUAAACUUCUUUUAUAUGGGAAUAAAAUGGCCGACUCGUGGGGUAUUGUCUGUACCUUACGAAUAAGCAUCGGCUAACUCCGUGCCAGCAGCCGCGGUAAUACGGAGGAUCCGAGCGUUAUCCGGAUGUAUUGGGUUUAAAGGGAGCGUAGGCGGAUUGAUAAGUCAGUUGUGAAAUUCUGCGGCUCAACCGCGGAACUGCAGUUGAAACUGGUGGUCUUGAGUACAGUAGAGGCAGGCGGAAUGCGUGGUGUAGCGGUGAAAUGCGUAGAUAUCACGAAGAACUCCGAUUGCGAAGGCAGUCUGCUGGACAGCAACUGACGGUGAGGCGCGAAAGCGUGGGGAGCAAACAGGAUUAGAUACCCCGGUAGUC